ACAUCCGACUGCCUACGUUACAUCAACGGUUUAUUACGCAGAUCAACGACUCAGAUGAGAUGUUCUGCCGAGCAGACGCCGCUGGGUCUGCCAAUCCUCGCCCGCAAAACAUACCGCUUCGACGCCUCCCCGCGACCAGAUAAAAAACAGAAGCGAAGUGCGUAAUCCUCGCUCAGAUCCAGGCCCCUGCGUGUGAUUCCUCCCGCACCCGGGCGAGGUGGCUGCCGCGGAGCGGCCGGUGGCGGGCGGAGAUGCUCCUCACGGGCUGGCGUAUGGAUCCGCACCAUCGAGCUGUACCGGAGCUUCUCCGACGAUCCUUGGCGGCGACCAUGGCGUAGCGGAGCGAAGGGUGCCGGCAGCCCAGUGUCAGCGCGCAGGGGAAGAUUCACUUCACGGCCGGCGUCCGGAUCCGCGUCAUCGAGCUGUGCCGGAGGUUCUCAGGGUGGUGGCGCGCUGCCCAGUGAGCACGACCAUGGGCGAAUCCAAGGGAGCACGAGAUAACCCCUGCUGCUUUCGCUUCCAAGAGUCCCAUCCUCGCACAAGAGCUCCGUGGCCACAAUUUUCAGGCGUCUUUUGCUUCUUCUUCCUUUGGAUCCCUAGCUAGCAAUUCUGCAUCUCACCAUUCACUAGCAGCAACACAUUGAUUUAGCUGUAGCCAAUGCAGACGGUGGGUGGUACAGAUCACUAGCUAGCCGAGUUUGCCUCUUCCUCUGAAUUUCUCCUCAUUCACUAGCAGGAUGUAGUGUGAUUCUUAAAGAAAACGUAUUCACGAGAGCCCACUGUAUUAGUCUCUCCCUGCUCCUAUACUCCAUGCAUCGGUUCAUCCAUAUGUGAUCUUAUUUUGUUUCAGUCUUUUGCUAGAUUUAACAUUGGCCUUCGUUCAAAUCCUAUCCAGGUUGAACCAUUGAAAGCGAGCAGCUGAGCACACAAAGCUGCAGAGGCAACAACUCCAAAGGAAUCAGUACGGUGAUGUGUUUUCAGUAUUCCUAAAAUAAAUGAAGGGAACAUAUAUUGGUGUUUGAUGGGCAGAUCAAAUUUGUCAUCGUGAUUUGGAAUCCCAUGUUGACACUUUCCCAAAGUUUGACAAGCUUUACAAUAUUUUGCUACAUAGACAAAGUCAAUUAAGGAACUAGCGAGCGUUAGCCUGAAGAUUCACCAUCAUUUAAGUGUUCAUGAGCAGGCUACCAUGGCCACCCCAGAUAACCUUGAAGCAGUGUGCCAUGAUCGUGCCGCUUGAACAAAAACUGUAUAUGCUUUGGAAUUUUAUCAGAAGGCAUCUGAAGUAAAAAUAGUAGGAACUUCAAGUUGCCCAUCUUUUAAUUUAGUGUUACUCACAUUUAGGUCUAUCCAAUUGACAGACUUGCAUUGGCAUCUAUUGCCCAUCUUUAAAUUUAGUGUUUCUCACAUUUAGGCUUAUCCAUCACAGACUUGCAUUGGCAACUGUAGGCAGGAGGCAACAAAAUAGUAGUUGGUCCCACGGAAUAUAAUAAAUUGAGUACAGUGCUGCUGUUAGUCUACCAUUCAAGGGCAUGAUCAUAACCAAUGUACUGUUAAUAAGCAUGUAAAUCAUUUUUAUUGA
Triticum dicoccoides is the source of this 1579-nucleotide long non-coding RNA. RefSeq lists it as uncharacterized. The record is from RefSeq and is a predicted model, not a curated record. The transcript is spliced from 2 exons. Lineage: Eukaryota; Viridiplantae; Streptophyta; Magnoliopsida; Poales; Poaceae.